AUACGGAGGGCGCGAGCGUUGUUCGGAAUCACUGGGCGUAAAGCGGGUGUAGGCGGCCUGUCAAGUCAGAUGUGAAAGCCCACGGCUCAACCGUGGAAGUGCAUCUGAAACUGGCAGGCUUGAGUACCGGAGAGGGAAGUGGAAUUCCUGGUGUAGGGGUGAAAUCCGUAGAUAUCAGGAGGAACACCGGUGGCGAAGGCGACUUCCUGGACGGAUACUGACGCUGAGACCCGAAAGCGUGGGGAGCAAACAGGAUUAGAUACCCGAGUAGUCC
RNAcentral lists this ribosomal RNA (274 nucleotides) under uncultured bacterium. RNAcentral describes it as "partial 16S ribosomal RNA". It matches the Rfam family "Bacterial small subunit ribosomal RNA", at positions 523 to 796 of the family's 1533-position model. The record is from RNAcentral.